UACGUAGGGUGCAAGCGUUGUCCGGAAUUAUUGGGCGUAAAGAGCUCGUAGGCGGUUUGUCGCGUCGGCUGUGAAAACCUGAGGCUCAACCUCGGGCCUGCAGUCGAUACGGGCAAACUAGAGUUCGGUAGGGGAGACUGGAAUUCCUGGUGUAGCGGUGGAAUGCGCAGAUAUCAGGAGGAACACCAAUGGCGAAGGCAGGUCUCUGGGCCGAUACUGACGCUGAGGAGCGAAAGCGUGGGGAGCGAACAGG
RNAcentral lists this ribosomal RNA (253 nucleotides) under uncultured bacterium. RNAcentral describes it as "partial 16S ribosomal RNA". It matches the Rfam family "Bacterial small subunit ribosomal RNA", at positions 524 to 776 of the family's 1533-position model. The record is from RNAcentral.